CCUCUCCUUCGCCUUCCUGCCAUAUAUCAGCUUUGGGCAGUCGGACAUGUACAGGAAGCGGGUGCAGAUCUGCGUCUUCCUGCUGGUCUUCCUCGGUCUGCUCGCAGCGUUGGCCGUCCUCUUCUACGUUUACCCGGUGAAGUGUGACUGGUGCGAGUACCUCACCUGCAUCCCCAUCACCGACAAGUUCUGCGAGAAGUACGACCUGAACGCACACCUGCUAUGAACAUCAGCCCGGGAAAAUAAAAGCAAAGACGCUAGAAGAAUAAAUGUCAUCUGUACGGACGCUGGACUGGAUGUUGAUGACGUUCGAUGUGGAGCUAAUUUCCUGGAAUAAUAACCAGGAUUUAAUGUGGAUGUGUUUGUUUCGAAAGGUACAACAGCCCCAUUAUGAGUAAAGGCUGCGCAUGAAAGCCUUCAGGUAUUUAAUUAAAGGUAUUCACACACAUGGGAGACAAACUUUCAAUGGAUUUCUGUGUGAUUGAUCUCUAGCUGGGCUAAUCAAUGACUGUCACACUGGAGGAGUUGUUUCCUGCCAAAAUAUGUACCUUAUUUUGUGUUAAAAAUUGACUGAACAGCACCGCCUAGUGGCCAAAAGGAGCCGUGCAACCAGAGACACUGAAGUGAAUAAGCAAGGGACUUUUCUUUUGUACUUUUGUUUACUGAUGUCCAAACAAUUGUCCAUUUACUGGAUCUCCUCAGAGUUAAACAUGCCAAGAAAUGAGUUUACAAAAUGUGCCUUAUUGACACAAAACCCCACACACAUACACAUCUUUGUGCCAUGAAUCACUUUGUGGCAACAGUUUCAGAUGUUUUGGGUCCUCUUUCUUGACCUUUCCGGAAACUGCGUCACACAAUCUGACAAAGUCAUUUAAAAAAUGUUUUCACAAAUUAUUGAUGGCUGAAUUUCAACUUUUUUGUUAUUUUUGUACCACCCUGAAAAGUUUCCGCCACAGCCUUUAAAGCACUUCAAUCACAAAUGCAUUUUUAUUUUAAUAUUCGCCAAGUGUUUAAUCUGUAAAAAUCACCCUGUAUGUUAAUCUGCUCGUUGUGGAUGGCUCCUACUGAGCUGAAUGUGUGUUUUUAUUCAAUAUGGUGGUGUUUUAGCUACCUGACAAUAAACACAACAAAGCACA
Notothenia coriiceps (black rockcod) is the source of this 1136-nucleotide long non-coding RNA. RefSeq lists it as uncharacterized. The record is from RefSeq and is a predicted model, not a curated record. Lineage: Eukaryota; Metazoa; Chordata; Actinopteri; Perciformes; Nototheniidae. The transcript is spliced from 2 exons.